UUUACUUCUCUAGUUGUAGGACUUCCAUUCAGCCAGCUUUCUGGCAGUUCUGGAUGAUGCUUGUUCUGCAUUUUAGUUGUAAU
Molecule: non-coding RNA, 83 nt
Organism: Myotis brandtii (Brandt's bat)
Lineage: Eukaryota; Metazoa; Chordata; Mammalia; Chiroptera; Vespertilionidae
Source: Rfam